RNAcentral lists this unclassified non-coding RNA (343 nucleotides) under Hevea brasiliensis (rubber tree). The record is from RNAcentral. Lineage: Eukaryota; Viridiplantae; Streptophyta; Magnoliopsida; Malpighiales; Euphorbiaceae.
AAGACCACUUCUCCCAAAUUUGAGAAGGCCAUUUAAAUAUCCCAGAGAUACAAAUUAUAGCUAAGCAAACUUGGAAGGUCAUUUAACAAGGCUGGGUGGUGUAAACGGUAGCCAAUUUAUUUAGUGCACAAGAAGUUUUUGUCAGGCAGAAGCAACUUCGUAACUGGAGUUUUGAUGUGCACAAAGUAGACUUAUAUGUAUGCAUUCCAUCGCUGACCUGAUUUUGAGCCAGUGAUGCAAUCUAGGCAUCUUAGUGUGGUAUGUGUAUCUCUCUUCUGAUUAGGCAAAAUGUAUAUUUGUAAACCUCAGUUGUUUAAUGAUCCUAACAAAGGAUUAAUGAAUA